Molecule: long non-coding RNA, 1396 nt
Filed under: Homo sapiens (human)
Lineage: Eukaryota; Metazoa; Chordata; Mammalia; Primates; Hominidae
Description: HSALNT0236733
Source: RNAcentral
CACGCUUGUAACCCCAGCUACUCAGGUGGCUGAGGCAGGAGAAUUGCUUGAACCGGGGAGGUGGCGGUUGCAGCGAGCAGAGAUUGCGCCACUGCAUUCCAGCCUGGGCGACAGAGUGAGACUCUGCCUCAAAAAAAAAAAAAAAAAAAAAAAAGGCCAGGUAUGGCCAACUCACGCCUGUAAUCCCAGCACUUUGGGAGGCCAAGGCAUGGGCCACUGCGCCCGGCCAUAUUAUUCUAAUUUUACAGAAGAGGAAACCGAGGCUCAGAGAGGGAUAUACCUUACUCGAGGUCGCACAGCUUGUAAGCAGCAGUCAAGAUUCGAAUCCAGGCCCAGCUGACCCCAGAUGCUCAAUCUUUCCCUCUGCCAUACUGCUAGACCUGGCCCUGAAGAGGCCUAUGGCCCGCCAGCUGGUUACAUAAACCACCGCACAAGGUCUCACGUGCUAAGUGCUAAAUGUGUCAUGUCUGACUCCACCCUUUCCCUCACUUCCACAUCCAGCAGUCAUCAAGUGUGGCUGAAAUCGCCGCCGAGCUUGGGAAUGGCUCUGGAAAUCUUCCCUUCGAUAGCUCAGGUCCUUGUUAACACUCACGUGGUCCAAGGUUAUGGCCUCCCAGCUAUCCCCUGGCCUCCAGGCUUACCUUCCUCCAUCCAGCCCUCCUCCCCCUGAGGGUCAACGUCCCUAACCACAGUUCAGGACUAUCACUCCUGGGCUCAAAACCUCCACUGGUCCCCACUGACUCUAGAAGAAAGUUCAAAUUCUUCUACCAGGCAGUCAAGGGCUCUGGUCUAGCUCCAAUCUUCCUUUUUAAUCUUGCCUUGUGUUAUCCUCUUCAAACACACAGUACUCAGCGUGAGCCAGGCGUGAUGGCAGAUACCCAUAGUCCCAGCUACUCAGGAGGCUGCAGCUAGAGGAUUGCUUGAGCCCAGGAGUUUGAGUCCAGCCUGGGCAAUAUAUUGAGACCCAGUUUCUAAACAAAUGAACAAAACCCCAGACACCCAGUGUGCUCUCCAGCUUCUACAUGACCCACACCUUCAUGCCUUUGCCUGUGCUGGCUUGUUCUGCCAGAAAUGCUCUUUCCCCAAGCUUGUCAAAAUCCCUCCAAAACGUUAAGAUCUGACUCCAAGGCCACCUCCUUCUUGGCCCUCCCUGAUCCACAGGAUGAGAACGAUCAUUCCUUCCUCUGACUCAUCAACCUUUUGUGCUCCUAUGGCCAGCAUCCACCUUACACAGCAGCAGAGACUCAGGUUCUCAUGCCCUCAGCUGGGGAUCCCUGAGCAUCCGGGUCUUCUGAAAUGGACUGCUGCAAAUGCUAAGUUCUGCAGCAACUGGGGAGAAGAGUGUUGGAGGGAGUUGCACAGAAAGGACCAUCCACUGAAUGUUCCAGAAGGCAGC